AGAAAAUAAGAGGAAAACAUAUUCCCUUCGUUGAGCGGAUACAUAAUCACGCCCAAAAACAUCGAACAGGAUUAACAUCAAACAUAGUCACGACUCUGCAAGCCUACUUCGACCAGAUCUCGAUCAUCUUUUUCCCUUCGUUGAACGGAUGUAGAAUUGUGCCAAAUCCCACAUCGAACAGGAUUAACAAAGUCGCGACUCUGCUAGCCUACAUCGAUCAGGUCUCCAUCAACUUUUUCCAGAGAUAAAUCCUCUUUUUCCCCAGGUUCAAGAUUGUUGCAAAAAUUUAUCAUCUCCUUCAAUUUCUUGUCUUUUUUGCAAAAAAAUCUGCUUACCAGCUAGAUAAUUUUUUUAUUUUGGAGAAGGAACUAUCUGAACUAGAGGUUGCAACCGACUGGUAAUUGAACAAGAUGACGAUGAAGAUGUGCGACCUUAUAUUGAGUAUUUUAUGUAUGGUCAAAACCAUUCUGCAACCCAACCUUAUAUUGAGCAGUUGAUGGAUAAUCAGAACUCUUCUGAAGACCACGUACAUGAUGAUCAAUCUUAUGAUUUAAAUAGUUCUGCUGGUGGUACUGAAGUUCAACAAAAUGAUGAUGAAUCAGGUAAUUUGGAGCCAAGAAAGGUUCGUGGGCCUACUUUACUAAAAGAUAUUUGGAAACUUCCUCCGGGGAAGGUAGUUCAUGUGCCGUUUAAUAAUCGUAACCAAGCUAUUAGGGAAAAAGGUCGAAAGCUUGCUAGCUUUCUAGGAAUCAUUGCGAGAACUCCAGAACUAACACCUUUACAUGUAGAUGAUUGGAGAAAUUUUGAAAAGGAGGAAAAGAAGAAAUUGGUGGAUUUUGUGAGGGUAUGGAGUAGUUAUUAUUAUUAUUAUUAUUAUUAUAUGAAUGGGUUCAAUCUUUUAUACAUGAUAUUUUUUUCAAAAUAUUGGCUUUAUUUUUUUAGAAGAAGUUCUCUAUCCCAAGACGAGGAGAAACUUAUGUCCUAAAGCCACUAGGAAAGAAAUGGAAAGAUUACAAGUGUGAGUUAAAAGGUGAAUAUUUGCAAAAAAUAAGACUAAAGACCUUUUGCUGAAAAAUAGACCAAGUCGCAUACCGAGGGAUCAAUGGAGUGGUCUUGUUCCUUAUUGACUUUCAGAAAAAGCUAAGGUAUUAACAAAUUUUUAAAACACCUCUAGUUGAUUAUUUUCAGUGUUUUGAUUUUAGUUAUGCUCAAUUUUUAUGUAUAAUUUAUAAGAUAUAAUUUUAAUAUUUCAACGAAAGAGGCGUUCCCAAGCAAAUAGAAAUAAUAGGGCCAAUCAAAAGAUGUGUCACACAGGAGGAUCCAAAAGUAUUGCUACCUUGAUGGAUGAGCAGGCUGUAAAUGGGAUAGAGCCUACACGAGCACAAGUUUUCAUAUUAACUCAUACAAAACGUAAGGAUGGUAGACCACUGGAUGAUGAUUCUGUCAAGGCAAUUGAAAUGAUAAAUGAAAAGGCGAACAAUAGUGAGAGCUCUACUGACCAACCUCCUCACGUUGUUGCUUGGGAAGGCGAUCUGUAUUCUCAGGUGUUCGGAAAUGACAAAAGUGGAUAUGUUCGUGGUUUAGGACUUGGUCCAACUCCUUCUAUUCUAUGGGGUAGUAGAUCUUCCUUAGAAAAUAUUGUUGGAGAGGAUUCGUCUAAUGAAGCUGUCCAAAGGUUAACACAAGAGAUAACCGAGUUAAAGGAUAAACACAAUGAAGAAAUGAAUCUGAUAAAAUAAAAUCAGGAGAAGAUACAAUCAGAAUUACUCGAAAUGCGACAAUUGAUACGCAAAUAUGCUUCCAAUGAAUCUAUGCCUCAAAAUAUCAAUGGCACCUCAAUUAAACAGGUCCCUGUUGCCAAUAGUGGCCAUGAACGAGUACCACAAAUAUCAAGGAUACCUAAUGAUGCUGAAAAUACUUCAAUGUCUCAUGGUCAUAGAGUCUGAUGUUCGAUAAUUUAGGGGGUGGAAGAUUUCAAUAUGACGAAGAGUUUCAGAGAUUAUUUGAAGAUUGUUAUUCGUUAAGAUUAGUUAUAAAGUGACAUUAGCUAUUUACUUCAAACAAUAUGAGUUAUUUUUUAAAGUUUUGUGAUAUUAAAAUUUUGGAUUAGUACUUCCUUUUGUUUGUUAAGAUUUA
Nicotiana tabacum (common tobacco) is the source of this 2136-nucleotide non-coding RNA. The record is from RefSeq and is a predicted model, not a curated record. Lineage: Eukaryota; Viridiplantae; Streptophyta; Magnoliopsida; Solanales; Solanaceae.